RNAcentral lists this ribosomal RNA (501 nucleotides) under uncultured bacterium. RNAcentral's name for it is "partial 16S ribosomal RNA". It matches the Rfam family "Bacterial small subunit ribosomal RNA", at positions 30 to 523 of the family's 1533-position model. The record is from RNAcentral.
AUCGAACGCUGGCGGCAGGCUUAACACAUGCAAGUCGAGCGGAGAUGAGGUGCUUGCACCUUAUCUUAGCGGCGGACGGGUGAGUAAUGCUUAGGAAUCUGCCUAUUAGUGGGGGACAACAUUCCGAAAGGAAUGCUAAUACCGCAUACGUCCUACGGGAGAAAGCAGGGGAUCUUCGGACCUUGCGCUAAUAGAUGAGCCUAAGUCGGAUUGGCUAGUUGGUGGGGUAAAGGCCUACCAAGGCGACGAUCUGUAGCGGGUCUGAGAGGAUGAUCCGCCACACUGGGACUGAGACACGGCCAAGACUCCUACGGGGGGCAGCAGUGGGGAAUAUUGGACAAUGGGGGAAACCCUGAUCCAGCCAUGCCGCGUGUGUGAAGAAGGCCUUAUGGUUGUAAAGCACUUUAAGCGAGGAGGAGGCUACUGAGACUAAUACUCUUGGAUAGUGGACGUUACUCGCAGAAUAAGCACCGGCUAACUCUGUGCCAGCCGCCGCCGUAA